RNAcentral lists this ribosomal RNA (501 nucleotides) under uncultured bacterium. RNAcentral describes it as "partial 16S ribosomal RNA". It matches the Rfam family "Bacterial small subunit ribosomal RNA", at positions 29 to 523 of the family's 1533-position model. The record is from RNAcentral.
AUUGAACGCUGGCGGCAUGCCUUACACAUGCAAGUCGAACGGCAGCACGGGUGCUUGCACCUGGUGGCGAGUGGCGAACGGGUGAGUAAUACAUCGGAACGUACCUUAUCGUGGGGGAUAACGCAGCGAAAGCUGUGCUAAUACCGCAUACGCCCUGAAGGGGAAAGCGGGGGAUCGAAGGACCUCGCGCGAUUAGAGCGGCCGAUGCCUGAUUAGCUUGUUGGUGGGGUAAAAGCCCACCAAGGCGACGAUCAGUAGCUGGUCUGAGAGGACGAUCAGCCACACUGGGACUGAGACACGGCCCAGACUCCUACGGGAGGCAGCAGUGGGGAAUUUUGGACAAUGGGGGCAACCCUGAUCCAGCAAUGCCGCGUGAGUGAAGAAGGCCUUCGGGUUGUAAAGCUCUUUUGUCAGGGAAGAAACACCGGCUCUAACACAGUCCGGGAAUGACGGUACCUGAAGAAUAAGCACCGGCUAACUACGUGCCAGCAGCCGCGGUAA